GAUGAACGCUGGCGGCGUGCCUAAUACAUGCAAGUCGAGCGAACAGACGAGGAGCUUGCUCCUCUGACGUUAGCGGCGGAUGGGUGAGUAACACGUGGAUAACCUACCUAUAAGACUGGGAUAACUUCGGGAAACCGGAGCUAAUACCGGAUAAUAUAUUGAACCGCAUGGUUCAAUAGUGAAAGACGGUUUUGCUGUCACUUAUAGAUGGAUCCGCGCCGCAUUAUCUAGUUGGUAAGGUAACGGCUUACCAAGGCAACGAUGCGUAGCCGACCUGAGAGGGUGAUCGGCCACACUGGAACUGAGACACGGUCCAGACUCCUACGGGAGGCAGCAGUAGGGAAUCUUCCGCAAUGGGCGAAAGCCUGACGGAGCAACGCCGCGUGAGUGAUGAAGGUCUUCGGAUCGUAAAACUCUGUUAUUAGGGAAGAACAAAUGUGUAAGUAACUAUGCACGUCUUGACGGUACCUAAUCAGAAAGCCACGGCUAACUACGUG
RNAcentral lists this ribosomal RNA (497 nucleotides) under uncultured bacterium. RNAcentral describes it as "partial 16S ribosomal RNA". It matches the Rfam family "Bacterial small subunit ribosomal RNA", at positions 28 to 507 of the family's 1533-position model. The record is from RNAcentral.